CUAGUUUCAUAACAUUUCUGAUCUUUUUUUUUUUUUAUUUUAUUUUUUUAUUAACAAACAAUUUCUUGUCAAUUUCACUAUUGGCAAUUUCACAUUGGGUGUAUAAAGAUUGCCACAAAACAGCAUCUGAAUAGCUGCUAUUAAAUGCAAACUGCAAUUUACUUUUCUCUGCGAUAUCAUUUAUAAAUUCCACAAUUCAUUUGUUCCAACAAAAUCUAACUUUCCUUAUUCCAACAUGCCAAUAACCUCUUACUUAACAACAUAUACAAGAUUACACAAAGUUCCUAACUAGGUUAUUCGUCCAGCAAAUAUACCUUGUUUCCCUCACAUUCCUCACUGAGUUUACAAGCAUUUCACCCAUUCACCCCACCCCCCUGUAGCCAAUACUCAUAGCAGUCAGAGCAAGAGAAAGCAACAAAGAAGGAGGGGGGAGGAGGGAGGAAGACUUGCAAGCACAAAGUUUU
This is a non-coding RNA of Pelobates cultripes (western spadefoot toad), 464 nucleotides long. The record is from the annotation of a GenBank genome assembly. Lineage: Eukaryota; Metazoa; Chordata; Amphibia; Anura; Pelobatidae.